GACCAUGUGUCCCAAUGGACAAGGCAACGGACUUCAGAUCAGAAAAUUGAUGGUUCUAGUCCGUUUAUGGUUG
This 73-nucleotide transfer RNA is filed under the name Xiphophorus maculatus (southern platyfish). It matches the Rfam family "tRNA". Rfam says of the family: Transfer RNA (tRNA) molecules are approximately 80 nucleotides in length. Their secondary structure includes four short double-helical elements and three loops (D, anti-codon, and T loops). Further hydrogen bonds mediate the characteristic L-shaped molecular structure. tRNAs have two regions of fundamental functional importance: the anti-codon, which is responsible for specific mRNA codon recognition, and the 3' end, to which the tRNAs corresponding amino acid is attached (by aminoacyl-tRNA synthetases). tRNAs cope with the degeneracy of the genetic code in two manners: having more than one tRNA (with a specific anti-codon) for a particular amino acid; and 'wobble' base-pairing, i.e. permitting non-standard base-pairing at the 3rd anti-codon position. The record is from Rfam by way of RNAcentral. Lineage: Eukaryota; Metazoa; Chordata; Actinopteri; Cyprinodontiformes; Poeciliidae.